RNAcentral lists this long non-coding RNA (294 nucleotides) under Mytilus galloprovincialis (Mediterranean mussel). Lineage: Eukaryota; Metazoa; Mollusca; Bivalvia; Mytilida; Mytilidae. The record is from RNAcentral.
CUUCCAUCAUUUUUCUCUUUGCAUUUAAUCUUUUUUUUUUUAAUAUUAAAAAAAACGUUGUCGUAGUAGUACACAUCAGGGGUUACAUUGUAUAAUUUCCAGCAAAACUAACAGGGGAGGGACUACAUCAGAAAAACAAUCUUCAUUGAGUGGCAAUAACUCAUAUAUAUUGAAGCAUACAAUGACGGCUCCCUCGUCUAGGUGACAACAUUUGCUGUUUGAAGUUUAUUUAUAUCUCAGACUGGUAUAAUAGUUGUCAUAAAAGGGGAAAAAAUGAUAAAAAAGGUUGACAAC